Molecule: long non-coding RNA, 623 nt
Filed under: Bos taurus (domestic cattle)
Lineage: Eukaryota; Metazoa; Chordata; Mammalia; Artiodactyla; Bovidae
Description: long non-coding RNA NONBTAT022537
Source: RNAcentral
AGUUUACAUAGUGUUACUGUCGCAAUGCUUUGGUUAAAUGUUGAUAUAAAGCAAGUUUUAGGAAUUCUUUUAAAUGAUGAAGUAAUGGUGGUGGAAAGAAAUUAGUAACAGAAAGAGUGAAAAUCUUUUCAUUAGCUGUAGGUGGUGCUACUGGCUUUUAUUUGCUGGCUUGAUUAUUCUGUUUCCCACAAAAACCAUGGCAUUAGUAAAACAGUAAGUAUGUGUUAGGUGGUAGAGGCUUUGGAGGUCAGUUUACCUUAAAUUGAAAGAUUUUAGAUAGCUGUUUCUUCCUACCUUUGCUUGUUAUUUGUAAAUGCUAAAUGGUCAGCAUAAAACUAGAUGGGAGAAGAAAUGUUUAGAGUAUAAUAAAUAUGUCUCAGACUGAGUUACUGCCUGGCUUAUCAGGAAAGAAAGCACUACAAUCUCUUCAGGAAUUACAGAUAAUGCGCAUAUUUAUAUUUUACAUGUAAUCACCAUACUCCAUUUUAUGUAUAGUAUUUUCCUUGCUUAGGGGAAAAGAGCACAGUAACAGAUUUCUUUUAUACCUUUGUCUUCACCCUCUCUGAGAGAGGUUUUGAUAACCACUGAAAUAGUAAGAUAUGGGAGAUAUAAUUGUUAGUCUG